This 286-nucleotide long non-coding RNA is filed under the name Elaeis guineensis (African oil palm). Its description in RNAcentral is "long non-coding RNA (EGUI_LNC037601)". The record is from RNAcentral. Lineage: Eukaryota; Viridiplantae; Streptophyta; Magnoliopsida; Arecales; Arecaceae.
GCAAACCCUAACGUCCCUCCUCUUUAUAAAUACACAUUAAAGCCUCCUCAAUAAGAACAUAUGCUCCCCUUGUAGGGAUCAUCUCCUCUCUCUCCCUCAUUCUCUCCUCCAUCAAAACCCUAGCCUCCUCUUUCCUUCUUCUAUCCUCCAAACACCCACAAUCUUCAGUCCUGUUCUCCACAAAAAUCUCUCCUCCUGCUCUUGAUCCCUUUUCCAAGCUAUUGGAAGAAAGUUCUCAAAGUUUCAGGAUGAAGAAUUCAGCGAGAAGCAUUCCUAUGGCUGGCUA